ACUGCAUCUUCUGGGUGGGCUCAGUGUCAUCACAAGGGUCCUCCUAAGAGGGAGGCAGAAAGGUGAGUCAGAUCUAAACCUGUUACAUGCUGGCUUUGAAGACUGGAGGAAGGGGGCUUCCAGCAAGAAAUGCAGGCAGCCUCUAGAAACUAGAGAGGCAAAGAAGGGCCUUCUCUGGAGCUUCCAGAAGGCUGCAACCCUGCAGACAUCUUGAUUUCAGACUUCUGACCUCCAGAACUCUAAGAGGAUAUAUUUGCUUUGUUUUCAUGCACCAAGUUCACGGCACUUUGUUAUUACAACAACAACAACAACAACAACAACAACAACAACAACAGGGAACUGAUGAUAUAGUACAUGAACCUUUCUGGGUUCCAUAGGGCAGAGAAGUGAGGCAUCUGCUUACCUUUGGCAGAAAAAAAAAAAAGGAGACUUUCUGGGGGGCAGCAGGUCAUUGAAAAGAAGGAAAAGUUUAAAAACUGAGUUUAAAAAAAAAAAAGCGUGCCCCAAAGGAAAAAGGGUGCUGUUUCUACCAGAAGAAGAGAGAACACGUAGGCAAAUGGUCUCCUCUCCGCUAUAGUUGGACGGGAUGGUCCCUGCCCGCUCUUCUCUGAAGCUAAUGCCCUGGUGGAUGUUUUGAAUGAACCCAAGAUUUAACUUCUAGAGGUGACUGACUGCAUGUGACGUGAAGAGGCCAAUGCCAUUGGAAAGCAGUUUCCCAAGAGGAGGGGGCAUGCCCCGCCACACAGGCCAGCUAGGAGGACUUUACUGGAGAGAUUCCUUCAGUUGGGCCAAGAGUGAGGCAUCACCCAAAAUCUUGAAUGUAAAGGCAGUGACACCAUCCAGCUAGAUGUUCAAUGAUAACAUCGACACAAAAUGGAUCAAAGCGCCAACCUGAAAAGUCACCCUGGAUAACACCAGCUCUACUCCUAGGCCAGGGUGUCUCGAUGUGAGGAGCCCAGACCUGCUUCAGCUAUGUUGAUGUCUUGGGAGAGGGUGCCUGCCUGGGAGAGAAACCGGCCCAGACAAAGCAGAACCGGACAAUGAAGAGGGAUGGGGUCCAAUGACAUUGAGCCCUUAUGUCACGUCAUGCCUGAAGUCUACUGUAUUACCCAAUAAUCUCCACUUCUCUUAGUGUUUCCUGCAACCAAAGGGAUGCUGGGUCCUGAUGGACGCAUCAAUCUUGCCUACUUCCACUGUGAAAGCCCGAGAGAGGUCCUUUUGCUCACAUCACCCAACUUUAAUCACAUUCAUGUCCUUAACAAUGAUAGUCACAAUGUAAUUAUUUUAUUUAUUUGAUCACCUGUUCUUUCCUGCCUCCCCUGAUAGAAGGCUAACUAUGAGAGAGCAGGAACCUUGUCUGUCUUGUUUAGUAUCAUGUGCAUCCGGCAUGCCACGGGCAUGGAAUGAACAUUUGUUGACUGACUGAAUAAAAGCAUGCAUCACUGCAUGCACUGGGAUAUACUGAAAGUAUCUAACUAUGUAGACAGCUUCCCAACUGGAUCAUCGGUGCCUCUGAAACAGGGACGGUCUUCAUCAUUUUGUUUCUUCACUGUCUGCCACCCACUAGUCACCCAAUAAACAUUUAUUGGUAGACUGCAAGACUACCUUAGCCAAUGUAUGUAUUUCCAAAUUUUCUCAGUUCCGAGCUCUUCGAGUGACUGUGCACAACUUCCCAUUUAGAACUGACUACUGGAAGAGUACGUGCCAUACAGGCCAAAGCAAGUGUUCUAGUCUUUGGGGACAGUUAUCCUCUGAUAUGGAAUCUUGGUUUGUACAUCAGUUUUCUAUGUGUU
Molecule: long non-coding RNA, 1793 nt
Organism: Canis lupus familiaris (dog)
Lineage: Eukaryota; Metazoa; Chordata; Mammalia; Carnivora; Canidae
Exons: 3
Source: RefSeq, a predicted model, not a curated record